GAUGAACGCUGGCGGCGUGCCUAAUACAUGCAAGUCGAGCGAACAGACGAGGAGCUUGCCCCUCUGACGUUACCGGCGGACGGGUGAGUAACACGUGGCUAACCUACCUAUAAGACUGGGAUAACUUCGGGAAACCGGAGCUAAUACCGGAUAUUAUAUUGAACCGCAUGGUUCAAUAGUGAAAGCCGGUUUUGCUGUCACUUAUAGAUGGAUCCGCGCCGCAUUAGCUAGUUGGUAAGGUAACGGCUUACCAAGGCAACGAUGCGUAGCUGACCUGAGAGGGUGAUCGGCCACACUGGAACUGAGACACGGUCCAGACUCCUACGGGAGGCAGCAGUAGGGAAUCUUCCGCAAUGGGCGAAAGCCUGACGGAGCAACGCCGCGUGAGUGAUGAAGGUCUUCGGAUCGUAAAACUCUGUUAUUUGGGAAGAACAAAUGUGUAAGUAACUAUGCACGUCUUGACGGUACCUAAUCAGAAAGCCACGGCUAACUACGUG
This 497-nucleotide ribosomal RNA is filed under the name uncultured bacterium. RNAcentral's name for it is "partial 16S ribosomal RNA". It matches the Rfam family "Bacterial small subunit ribosomal RNA", at positions 28 to 507 of the family's 1533-position model. The record is from RNAcentral.